Molecule: ribosomal RNA, 425 nt
Filed under: uncultured bacterium
Lineage: Bacteria
Description: partial 16S ribosomal RNA
Rfam family: Bacterial small subunit ribosomal RNA
Source: RNAcentral
GUGGGGAAUAUUGGACAAUGGGCGAAAGCCUGAUCCAGCAAUGCUGCGUGAGUGAAGAAGGCCUUCGGGUUGUAAAGCUCUUUUACCCGGGAAGAUAAUGACUGUACCGGGAGAAUAAGCCCCGGCUAACUCCGUGCCAGCAGCCGCGGUAAUACGGAGGGGGCUAGCGUUGUUCGGAAUUACUGGGCGUAAAGAGCACGUAGGCGGUCUUUUAAGUCAGAGGUGAAAGCACGGGGCUCAACUCCGGAAUUGCCUUUGAAACUGGGAGCCUUGGACACGGUGGAGGUGAGUGGAAUGCCGAGUGUAGGGGUGAAAUUCGUAGAUAUUCUGAGGAACACCAGUGGCGAAGGCGGCUGCCUGGACCGUUGUUGACGCUGAGGUGCGAAAGCGUGGGGGGCAAACAGGAUUAGAUACCCGAGUAGUCC